This 222-nucleotide ribosomal RNA is filed under the name Triticum aestivum (bread wheat). RNAcentral describes it as "partial small subunit ribosomal RNA". The record is from RNAcentral. Lineage: Eukaryota; Viridiplantae; Streptophyta; Magnoliopsida; Poales; Poaceae.
AUGCAGAUGAGAAGCGCCACCCUAUGCUUCCUCAUCAUACUUGUGUUACUUGGAAGUUCUACUCACGCAGAGAACUGCAACACUCACGAGAUUACAAUUGAUGCAUGCGUGAAGCCAAUUUGUAAGUUGGCAUGUCUUGCUUCCUACGGGAAGCAUUUGAGGGAGUAUGGUUGCACAGGCAGCCCACCAGUUAUUUGUGUUUGCUAUGUAUGCCAUGAUUAG